CGCGGAGCUGCUGGGAGCAUGGCACUGGGGUGCUGGGGGCGGACAAAGCCCCAUUGUUCCUGGGCCCUUUCCCCAUCGCGCCUGGGCCUGCUCCCCAGCCCGGGGCAGGGGCGGGGGCCAGUGUGGUGACACACGCUGUCUCCCCGGCUGGCUGGCUCGCUCUCUCCUGGGGACACAGAGGUCGGCAGGCAGCACACAGAGGGACCUACGGGCAGCUGUUCCUUCCCCCGACUCAAGAAUCCCCGGAGGCCCGGAGGCCUGCAGCAGGAGCGGCCAUGAAGAAGCUGAUGGUGGUGCUGAGUCUGAUUGCUGCAGGUGGGGAAAGGGCAUUUGGAUGGGGGAGGCUUGCAGACAGGGUUG
This 360-nucleotide long non-coding RNA is filed under the name Pan troglodytes (chimpanzee). RNAcentral's name for it is "long non-coding RNA NONPTRT008593". The record is from RNAcentral. Lineage: Eukaryota; Metazoa; Chordata; Mammalia; Primates; Hominidae.